This 516-nucleotide ribosomal RNA is filed under the name uncultured bacterium. RNAcentral's name for it is "bacterial SSU rRNA". It matches the Rfam family "Bacterial small subunit ribosomal RNA", at positions 12 to 518 of the family's 1533-position model. The record is from RNAcentral.
UUCGAUUCUGGCUCAGGAUGAACGCUAGCUACAGGCUUAACACAUGCAAGUCGAGGGGCAUCGAGAGGAAAGCUUGCUUCCUGUCGGCGACCGGCGCACGGGUGAGUAACGCGUAUCCAACCUUCCCCUUAGUAGGGCAUAGCCCGGCGAAAGUCGGAUUAAUACCCUAUGUUUUCCGAUGAGGACAUCUGAGCUGGAAUAAAGAUUUAUCGCUAAGGGAUGGGGAUGCGUCUGAUUAGGUAGUCGGCGGGGUAACGGCCCACCGAGCCAACGAUCAGUAGGGGUUCUGAGAGGAAGGUCCCCCACAUUGGUACUGAGACACGGACCAAACUCCUACGGGAGGCAGCAGUGAGGAAUAUUGGUCAAUGGGCGAGAGCCUGAACCAGCCAAAGUAGCGUGCAGGAUGACGGCCCUAUGGGUUGUAAACUGCUUUUAUCGGGGGAUAAAGUGAGGGACGCGUCCCUUUUUGUAGGUACCCGAUGAAUAAGGACCGGCUAAUUCCGUGCCAGCCGCCGC